AUUGAACGCUGGCGGCAGGCCUAACACAUGCAAGUCGAGCGGAUGAAGGGAGCUUGCUCCUGGAUUCAGCGGCGGACGGGUGAGUAAUGCCUAGGAAUCUGCCUGGUAGUGGGGGAUAACGUCCGGAAACGGGCGCUAAUACCGCAUACGUCCUGAGGGAGAAAGUGGGGGAUCUUCGGACUUCACGCUAUCAGAUGAGCCUAGGUCGGAUUAGCUAGUUGGUGGGGUAAAGGCCUACCAAGGCGACGAUCCGUAACUGGUCUGAGAGGAUGAUCAGUCACACUGGGACUGAGACACGGUCCAGACUCCUACGGGCGGCAGCAGUGGGGAAUAUUGGACGAUGGGCGAAAGCCUGAUCCAGCCAUGCCGCGUGUGUGAAGAAGGUCUUCGGAUUGUAAAGCACUUUAAGUUGGGAGGAAGGGCAGUAAGUUAAUACCUUGCUGUUUUGACGUUACCAACAGAAUAAGCACCGGCUAACUUCGUG
This 484-nucleotide ribosomal RNA is filed under the name uncultured bacterium. RNAcentral's name for it is "partial 16S ribosomal RNA". It matches the Rfam family "Bacterial small subunit ribosomal RNA", at positions 30 to 507 of the family's 1533-position model. The record is from RNAcentral.